CCAUUGUCACGCUCUUGGCAAU
This 22-nucleotide non-coding RNA is filed under the name Arabidopsis thaliana (thale cress). The record is from RNAcentral. Lineage: Eukaryota; Viridiplantae; Streptophyta; Magnoliopsida; Brassicales; Brassicaceae.